UCUACGGGAGGCAGCAGUGAGGAAUAUUGGUCAAUGGACGCAAGUCUGAACCAGCCAUGCCGCGUACAGGAAGACGGCUCUAUGAGUUGUAAACUGCUUUUGUACGAGGGUAAAUCCCGAUACGUGUAUCGGUUUGAAAGUAUCGUACGAAUAAGGCUCGGCUACCUCCGUGCCAGCAGCCGCGGUACUACGGAGGAUUCAAGCGUUAUCCGGAUUUAUUGGGUUUAAAGGGUUGGUAGGCGGUUCGAUAAGUUAGAUGUGAAGUCCCGGGGCUCAACUCCGGCACUGCCCGUGAUACUGUCGGGCUAGAGUUUAGUUGCGGUAGGCGGAAUGUAUGGUGUAGCGGUGAAAUGCAUAGAGAUCAUACAGAACACCGAUUGCGAAGGCAGCUUACUAAACUACGACUGACGUUGAGGCACGAAAGCGUGGGGAGCAAACAGGAUUAGAUACCCCUGUAGUC
RNAcentral lists this ribosomal RNA (460 nucleotides) under uncultured bacterium. RNAcentral's name for it is "partial 16S ribosomal RNA". It matches the Rfam family "Bacterial small subunit ribosomal RNA", at positions 338 to 795 of the family's 1533-position model. The record is from RNAcentral.